CCCCGUGUGGCUCAGUUGGUAGAGCAUGGUGUUUGCAAUGCAAGGGUUGUGGGUUCAAUUCCCACGGGGG
Molecule: non-coding RNA, 70 nt
Organism: Salmo salar (Atlantic salmon)
Lineage: Eukaryota; Metazoa; Chordata; Actinopteri; Salmoniformes; Salmonidae
Source: Rfam